GGGGAUGAUCGGCCUAGACAGGAGAUCAAAUCAUAUUUGUGCAAAGUAGAGCUCUGAUACCUCUUAAAACUUUCAGAAAUUCUAAGUGCAAAAAACUUAGUUACAAAAGCAAAAGUAUCUCCAUAUUUUGGAAAUAACUUUGCUUUCGCUUUAGCGUAAGCCAAAGCGACGUCGCCCAAGUCCGCUCCCGUAAAGCUUGGUGUGGUGUUAUAUCCUCGGGAUAGAGUGCCGGGUCGUUUCGACUGACAUUUGAAAAUAAUUGAAGCUAGUGCUGUCGUGGUUUUGUGUAUUUCCUACACGACAACGCAAAUCGCCUUUCGGGGCGUAGAAACACACUACACUUUGUAGACUCAUAUAUGAUCAUUUCUUGCACCCGAGUUCGAUUCUCGGCAUCUCCACCA
RNAcentral lists this transfer-messenger RNA (401 nucleotides) under Minisyncoccia. RNAcentral describes it as "SICJ01 sp009691505 Standard tmRNA". It matches the Rfam family "transfer-messenger RNA". From Rfam's summary of the family: Bacterial tmRNA, also known as 10Sa RNA or SsrA, is named for its dual tRNA and mRNA-like properties. Its role is to liberate the mRNA from a stalled ribosome. To accomplish this part of the tmRNA is used as a reading frame that ends in a translation stop signal. Lineage: Bacteria; Bacillati; Minisyncoccota. The record is from RNAcentral.